Molecule: ribosomal RNA, 409 nt
Filed under: Corallianassa borradailei
Lineage: Eukaryota; Metazoa; Arthropoda; Malacostraca; Decapoda; Callianassidae
Description: partial small subunit ribosomal RNA
Rfam family: Microsporidia small subunit ribosomal RNA
Source: RNAcentral
AUUUCCAAUCGUAAUACAUCAUGCCUAAAAACUAAAAGCUAUGUCCUUCAAAUUUAAAGGAUUUGGCGGUAAUUUAGUCCAGUUAGAGGAACCUGUUCGAUAAACGAUAAACCCCGCAAAAUCUUACCUCCUCUCCAAAGUUUGUAUACCGUCAUUAUUAGAUGACUCCUAGAAGAAAAGUUAUUUCAAUAAAUAAUCUUUACUUAGUAUAUUAGAUCAAGGUGCAACCCAUGAGGAGGCCAGAAUGGGUUACAAUAAAACUUAUUUAAAACGGAAGAAAUAUUGAAAUAUUUUUCCGAAGGAGGAUUUAAUAGUAAGAUUAGUUUAACAAGCUUCCCUGAUAGAGGAUCUAAAUUGAGUACAUAUCGCCCGUCGCUUUCGUCUAAAAACGAAAUAAGUCGUAACAUAG